This 1506-nucleotide ribosomal RNA is filed under the name metagenome. RNAcentral's name for it is "bacterial SSU rRNA". It matches the Rfam family "Bacterial small subunit ribosomal RNA". The record is from RNAcentral.
AGAGUUUGAUCAUGGCUCAGAUUGAACGCUGGCGGUAUGCUUAACACAUGCAAGUCGGACGGCAGCGGGCCCUUCGGGGCGCCGGCGAGUGGCGGACGGGUGAGUAACGCGUAGGAAUCUGCCCUGUAGUGGGGGACAACUUAGGGAAACUUAAGCUAAUACCGCAUACGCUCCUUCUCGGAAGAGGGGGAGGAAAGCGGGGGACCUUCGGGCCUCGCGCUAUGGGAUGAGCCUGCGUUGGAUUAGCUAGUUGGCAGGGUAAAGGCCUACCAAGGCGACGAUCCAUAGCUGGUCUGAGAGGACGAUCAGCCACACUGGGACUGAGACACGGCCCAGACUCCUACGGGAGGCAGCAGUGGGGAAUAUUGGACAAUGGGCGCAAGCCUGAUCCAGCAAUACCGCGUGUGUGAAGAAGGCCUGAGGGUUGUAAAGCACUUUCACUGGGGAGGAAAAAGUGGCGGCCAAUACCCGUUACCUUGACAUUACCUAGAGAAGAAGCACCGGCUAACUCCGUGCCAGCAGCCGCGGUAAUACGGAGGGUGCGAGCGUUAAUCGGAAUUACUGGGCGUAAAGCGUGCGUAGGCGGCCUGUUAAGUCAGAUCUGAAAGCCCUGGGCUCAACCUGGGAACGGCAUUUGAAACUGGCAAGCUAGAGUUAGGUGGAGGGGAGUGGAAUUUCAGGUGUAGCGGUGAAAUGCGUAGAUAUCUGAAGGAACACCAGUGGCGAAGGCGGCUCCCUGGACCCAAACUGACGCUGAGGUACGAAAGCGUGGGUAGCAAACAGGAUUAGAUACCCUGGUAGUCCACGCCGUAAACGAUGUCGACUAGCCGUUGGGCCCUUAUAGGGUUUAGUGGCGCAGCUAACGCAUUAAGUCGACCGCCUGGGGAGUACGGCCGCAAGGUUAAAACUCAAAUGAAUUGACGGGGGCCCGCACAAGCGGUGGAGCAUGUGGUUUAGUUCGAUGCAACGCGAAGAACCUUACCUACCCUUGACAUCUACAGGACUUAGCAGAGAUGCUUUGGUGCCUUCGGGAACUGUAAGACAGGUGCUGCAUGGCUGACGUCAGCUCGUGUCGUGAGAUGUUGGGUUAAGUCCCGUAACGAGCGCAACCCUUAUCCCUAGUUGCCAGCGCGUAAAGGCGGGAACUCUAAGGAGACUGCCGGUGAUAAACCGGAGGAAGGUGGGGACGACGUCAAGUCAUCAUGGCCCUUAUGGGUAGGGCUACACACGUGCUACAAUGGCCGGUACAGAGGGCUGCGAACUGGCAACAGUAAGCCAAUCCCACAAAGCCGGUCCCAGUCCGGAUUGGAGUCUGCAACUCGACUCCAUGAAGUCGGAAUCGCUAGUAAUCGCGGAUCAGAAUGCCGCGGUGAAUACGUUCCCGGGCCUUGUACACACCGCCCGUCACACCAUGGGAGUGGGUUGCAAAAGAAGUAGGUAGUCUAACCUUCGGGAGGGCGCUUACCACUUUGUGAUUCAUGACUGGGGUGAAGUCGCAACAAGGUA